UACGAGGGGGGCUAGUGUUGUUCGGAAUCACUGGGCGUAAAGGGAGCGUAGGCGGGCGUUUAAGUUAGGUGUUUAAUCCCGGGGCCCAACCCCGGACCGGCACCUAAAACUGGACGUCUUGAAUAGUGGAGAGGUCGGUGGAAUUGGAGGUGUAGCGGUGGAAUGCGUAGAUAUCGCUUGGAACGCCAACGGUGAAAACAGGUUGCUGGGGUUGUGCCGACGCUGAGACACGAAAGCCAGGGGAGCGAACGGG
Molecule: ribosomal RNA, 253 nt
Filed under: uncultured bacterium
Lineage: Bacteria
Description: partial 16S ribosomal RNA
Rfam family: Bacterial small subunit ribosomal RNA
Source: RNAcentral